GGCUUGGUAGUUCAUUGGUAGAACGCAAUACUUUUAAUAUUGUGAAGCGGUUCAAAUCCGUUCCAAGCCA
RNAcentral lists this transfer RNA (70 nucleotides) under Anaerostipes sp. Marseille-Q3525. RNAcentral describes it as "tRNA-Lys". It matches the Rfam family "tRNA". Rfam says of the family: Transfer RNA (tRNA) molecules are approximately 80 nucleotides in length. Lineage: Bacteria; Bacillati; Bacillota; Clostridia; Lachnospirales; Lachnospiraceae. RNAcentral also lists the same sequence under 1 other name. The record is from RNAcentral.